This 488-nucleotide ribosomal RNA is filed under the name uncultured bacterium. RNAcentral describes it as "bacterial SSU rRNA". It matches the Rfam family "Bacterial small subunit ribosomal RNA", at positions 36 to 524 of the family's 1533-position model. The record is from RNAcentral.
CCAGCGGCGUGCUUACCAUGCAAGUCGAGCGGUAAGGCGUCCUUCAGGAGUACACUAGCGGCGAACGGGUGAGUAACACGUGAGCGAUCUGCCCUUCACUUCGAGAUAACUCCUGGAAACCGGUGCUAAUACCGAAUACAACCACUUCAAGCAUCUGAUGGUGGUGGAAACUUCCUGCGGUGAAGGAUGACCUCGCGGCCUAUCAGCUUGUUGGUGAGGUAACGGCCCACCAAAGCCACGACGGGUAGCCGGCCUGGGAGGGUGACCUGCCACACUGGGACUGAAACGCCGCCCAUACUCCUACGGGAGGCAGCAGUGCGGGAAUAUUGGACAAUGGGCGAAAGCCUGAUCCAACAACCCCUCUUGAUGGAUGACGGCCUUCCGGUUGUAAACCUCUUUCAUCGGGGACCAAGCUUUGUCUUUUUGGGCAAACUGACUGUACCCGCACAAGAGGCACCGGCCAGCUACGUGCCAACAGCCGCGGUAAU